UCUCAUUUAUUUGAAAGGUACAGUGAUAGUGGAUACGUGACUAAGAGAAGGAAAGAGAGAUAAUCGAUCAAUCUUCAUCUACUGGUUCACUCUCAGAUGUCUACAACAGCUGGGGCUGGGUGAGGCCCAAGCCUGGAGCUAGGAACUUCACUGAAGUCUUCAAUAUGGGGAACAGGGACCCAGGUACUUGAGCCACCACCUGCUGCCUCCCAGGUGCUAAAACAUCAGAUAAGAGCCUACCUGACAUUUUGGAGAAUUUGCUGUGCUGGGAUUGAUAUUCCGCAUUGCCUAAGAGUAAAAAAUAAGACGGAUAAAAAUUACUUUAAGCCACAUGGUUUGGCUGUGUAGGCUGACUUACAAUUGUAUCCAGACAUAUCACCAAAGCACAGAAUUCCCAAGCUACCCAAGAAGAAGCAGACUGAGGAAGACAGGAGCCAAUGGAGUCACCAUGUAACAAAACUGAAACCUCAGAGAUUUUUAACAGCAUUGAGUAGAUAGGACAGCAAGAAUUUAGGUGUCAGGACUAAAAUAAAAUUUGAUAUUGGUCAGGCAGGUUCUUUGUUUCUGAGUAUUAUGCAAGUAAAAUGAUUUUGAUGUUUCAGUAAUAAGAGAAACUAUCAAUGGAAGAAGUUCACAGGAAGCCAAGACUUAAGAUACACUAAAUUUAUAUUGAUUGCUAAAAGGAGUUCUAAAAUAUAGACAAUUAGUAUAGGAAUACAGGAGGUCUAUCAUUUCAACAUAAGAAAAGACAACACAGUAGGUAAGUAAAGAAAAAAUAAAGAAGUUACCUUUAAAGGAACUGAAGCUAUUCUGUCCAGGACCCAUCACCCAGAGUAAGAAUAAGAUUUAGAAGGAAAAACUUUAGCAAG
Long non-coding RNA from Oryctolagus cuniculus (rabbit), 869 nucleotides. RefSeq lists it as uncharacterized. NCBI's taxonomy places the organism in Eukaryota, Metazoa, Chordata, Mammalia, Lagomorpha, Leporidae. The record is from RefSeq and is a predicted model, not a curated record.